RNAcentral lists this ribosomal RNA (434 nucleotides) under uncultured marine bacterium. Its description in RNAcentral is "bacterial SSU rRNA". It matches the Rfam family "Bacterial small subunit ribosomal RNA", at positions 36 to 518 of the family's 1533-position model. The record is from RNAcentral.
CUGGCGGCAGGCCUAACACAUGCAAGUCGAGCGCGCCUUCGGGUGAGCGGCGGACGGGUUAGUAACGCGUGGGAACGUACCCUUUUCUACGGAAUAGCCUUUGGAAACGAAGAGUAAUACCGUAUACGCCCUUUGGGGGAAAGAUUUAUCGGAGAAGGAUCGGCCCGCGUUAGAUUAGAUAGUUGGUGGGGUAACGGCCUACCAAGUCUACGAUCUAUAGCUGGUUUUAGAGGAUGAUCAGCAACACUGGGACUGAGACACGGCCCAGACUCCUACGGGAGGCAGCAGUGGGGAAUCUUAGACAAUGGGCGCAAGCCUGAUCUAGCCAUGCCGCGUGAGUGAUGAAGGCCUUAGGGUCGUAAAGCUCUUUCUCCUGUGAUGAUAAUGACCGUAGCAGGUAAAGAAACCCCGGCUAACUCCGUGCCCGCAGCCGC